Molecule: ribosomal RNA, 495 nt
Filed under: uncultured bacterium
Lineage: Bacteria
Description: partial 16S ribosomal RNA
Rfam family: Bacterial small subunit ribosomal RNA
Source: RNAcentral
UGAACGCUGGCGGCGUGCCUAAUACAUGCAAGUCGAGCGAACAGACGAGGAGCUUGCUCCUCUGACGUUAGCGGCGGACGGGUGAGUAACACGUGGAUAACCUACCUAUAAGACUGGGAUAACUUCGGGAAACCGGAGCUAAUACCGGAUAAUAUAUUGAACCGCAUGGUUCAAUAGUUAAAGACGGUUUUGCUGUCACUUAUAGAUGGAUCCGCGCCGCAUUAGCUAGUUGGUAAGGUAACGGCUUACCAAGGCAACGAUGCGUAGCCGACCUGAGAGGGUGAUCGGCCACACUGGAACUGAGACACGGUCCAGACUCCUACGGGAGGCAGCAGUAGGGAAUCUUCCGCAAUGGGCGAAAGCCUGACGGAGCAACGCCGCGUGAGUGAUGAAGGUCUUCGGAUCGUAAAACUCUGUUAUUAGGGAAGAACAAAUGUGUAAGUAACUAUGCACGUCUUGACGGUACCUAAUCAGAAAGCCACGGCUAACUACGUG